Molecule: ribosomal RNA, 484 nt
Filed under: uncultured bacterium
Lineage: Bacteria
Description: bacterial SSU rRNA
Rfam family: Bacterial small subunit ribosomal RNA
Source: RNAcentral
CUACGUGCCAGCAGCCGCGGUAAUACGUAGGGUGCGAGCGUUAUCCGGAUUUAUUGGGUUUAAAGGGUGCGUAGGUUGUUCGGUAAGUCAGCGGUGAAACCUGAACGCUCAACGUUCAGCCUGCCGUUGAAACUGCCGGGCUUGAGUUCAGCGGCGGCAGGCGGAAUUCGUGGUGUAGCGGUGAAAUGCAUAGAUAUCACGAGGAACUCCGAUUGCGAAGGCAGCUUGCCAUACUGCGACUGACACUGAAGCACGAAGGCGUGGGUAUCAAACAGGAUUAGAUACCCUGGUAGUCCACGCAGUAAACGAUGAUUACUAGGAGUUUGCGAUAUACCGUCAAGCUUCCACAGCGAAAGCGUUGAGUAAUCCACCUGGGGAGUACGCCGGCAACGGUGAAACUCAAAGGAAUUGACGGGGGCCCGCACAAGCGGAGGAACAUGUGGUUUAAUUCGAUGAUACGCGAGGAACCUUACCCGGGAUUGAA